GACGAACGCUGGCGGCAUGCCUAAUACAUGCAAGUCGAGCGAACAGAUGAAGUGCUUGCACUUCUGACGUUAGCGGCGAACGGGUGAGUAACACGUAAGGAGUCUACCUAUAAGCGGGGGAUAACAUUCGGAAACGGGUGCUAAUACCGCAUAAUAUCUUCUUCCGCAUGGAAGAAGAUUGAAAGACGGCUCUGCUGUCACUUAUAGAUGACCUUGCGGUGCAUUAGUUAGUUGGUGGGGUAAUGGCCUACCAAGACGAUGAUGCAUAGCCGACCUGAGAGGGUGAUCGGGCACAUUGGGACUAGGACACGGCCCAAACUCCUACGGGAGGCAGCAGUAGGGAAUCUUCCGCAAUGGGCGAAAGCCUGACGGAGCAAUGCCGCGUGAGUGAAGAAGGCCUUCGGGUCGUAAAACUCUGUUAUAAGAGAAGAACAAAUUGUAGAGUAACUGCUACAGUCUUGACGGUAUCUUAUCAGAAAGCCACGGCUAACUACGUGCAGCCGCCGCCGUAA
RNAcentral lists this ribosomal RNA (512 nucleotides) under uncultured bacterium. RNAcentral describes it as "partial 16S ribosomal RNA". It matches the Rfam family "Bacterial small subunit ribosomal RNA", at positions 28 to 523 of the family's 1533-position model. The record is from RNAcentral.